RNAcentral lists this ribosomal RNA (254 nucleotides) under uncultured bacterium. RNAcentral's name for it is "partial 16S ribosomal RNA". It matches the Rfam family "Bacterial small subunit ribosomal RNA", at positions 524 to 777 of the family's 1533-position model. The record is from RNAcentral.
UACGAAGGGGGCUAGCGUUGCUCGGAAUCACUGGGCGUAAAGCGCACGUAGGCGGCUUUCUAAGUCAGGGGUGAAAUCCUGGAGCUCAACUCCAGAACUGCCUUUGAUACUGGAGAGCUUGAGUCCGGGAGAGGUGAGUGGAACUCCGAGUGUAGAGGUGAAAUUCGUAGAUAUUCGCAAGAACACCAGUGGCGAAGGCGGCUCACUGGCCCGAUACUGACGCUGAGGCACGAAAGCGUGGGGAGCAAACAGGG